Molecule: ribosomal RNA, 55 nt
Filed under: Chaetomium globosum
Lineage: Eukaryota; Fungi; Ascomycota; Sordariomycetes; Sordariales; Chaetomiaceae
Description: partial 28S ribosomal RNA
Source: RNAcentral
UAACCCAAGGUUGACCUCGGAUCAGGUAGGAAGACCCGCUGAACUUAAGCAUAUC